CCUGAUGCAGCGACGCCGCGUGAGGGAUGACGGCCUUCGGGUUGUAAACCUCUUUCACCAGGGACGAAGCGUGAGUGACGGUACCUGGAGAAGAAGCACCGGCCAACUACGUGCCAGCAGCCGCGGUAAUACGUAGGGUGCGAGCGUUGUCCGGAAUUACUGGGCGUAAAGAGCUCGUAGGCGGUUUGUCGCGUCGUCUGUGAAAUUCUGCAACUCAAUUGCAGGCGUGCAGGCGAUACGGGCAGACUUGAGUACUACAGGGGAGACUGGAAUUCCUGGUGUAGCGGUGAAAUGCGCAGAUAUCAGGAGGAACACCGGUGGCGAAGGCGGGUCUCUGGGUAGUAACUGACGCUGAGGAGCGAAAGCGUGGGUAGCGAACAGGAUUAGAUACCCUGGUAGUCCACGCCGUAAACGGUGGGUACUAGGUGUGGGUUCCUUUUCACGGGAUCCGUGCCGUAGCUAACGCAUUAAGUACCCCGCCUGGG
This 485-nucleotide ribosomal RNA is filed under the name Gordonia lacunae. RNAcentral describes it as "bacterial SSU rRNA". It matches the Rfam family "Bacterial small subunit ribosomal RNA", at positions 382 to 877 of the family's 1533-position model. Lineage: Bacteria; Bacillati; Actinomycetota; Actinomycetes; Mycobacteriales; Gordoniaceae. The record is from RNAcentral.